GCUCUUUAGGAUAGAUUAGAUGCUGUUGCUGCAGAUGCUUUUAUUACAGGUAUUAUUUCAGUCUGCCACAGGGAUGCCUCAGUUUUAUUUGAUCCUGGAACCAUAUAUUCUUAUAUAUCUUCUUACUUUUCUCAUCAUUUGGGGACUACCUGAUGGUGUCUUGCGUUACCUAUGCACGUAUCUACCUCGGUGGGUGAUACUGUUAUUGUGGACCACGUGUAUCUGUCAUGUCUUGUUACUAAUGGGGGUCUGGAGACCCUAGUUGUUUUGCUGCUAUUGAGCAUGGUACAUUUUGAUGUUAUUUUGGGCAUGG
RNAcentral lists this long non-coding RNA (313 nucleotides) under Nicotiana benthamiana. Its description in RNAcentral is "long non-coding RNA (NBEN_LNC005699)". Lineage: Eukaryota; Viridiplantae; Streptophyta; Magnoliopsida; Solanales; Solanaceae. The record is from RNAcentral.